Molecule: unclassified non-coding RNA, 5587 nt
Filed under: Acromyrmex echinatior (Panamanian leafcutter ant)
Lineage: Eukaryota; Metazoa; Arthropoda; Insecta; Hymenoptera; Formicidae
Description: uncharacterized LOC105148022, transcript variant X1
Source: RNAcentral
UCCUUUUAUUAUGCGGAGCCCCGAAGGGCUCUAGCACACAUACAUAUAUUAGUGUGAAAGUAUAAAAAAGUCCGUGAUGUUUCUGCAUCUGCUGCAUUCUGUGUGCAGCCCAAUGCAACCGUAAUUGUCCGUGAUUGUCUGUAUUGUGGAAUUGAGUGAUUGUGUACGUUCUUCUCACUUUGCACAGUCAAGAUAUCCAUACAACUUCGAUCACUUUUCAUCUUAUUUUUUCCCUCUACUUGUCUCAUGUAUACGAAAUCUUCGAUGACUGCAAGUAAUCAUAAUUGAUGAUUUUUUCAACUGAAGUAGUUUCGUUCACGACGAUCGGUGAGAGUACGUUCUAUUUGGUACUCAUAAUGCUCACAAACAUUCUUGUUUAACAUUUGACAAACAACAAGUAUGAAAUGCUUCCAUAAAUGUUGCGAGUGUCAAGUGAAACGUAGCUUAAGUGAAUGUAUGUUAACGUUAGGUCGCAACGAUUAGAGAAUGUGUAUUGUACUAGAAAAACGUCAAGUGAAAGUGCUGGUUGCCAAAAAUUCCGAUAGAGCAGAGGCUAUUAUCGCGUGCCCUAAAAUAAACGAUAUUUUAGGAAAUGUUCCGUGAGAAACUUCAGUGUGGGUAUUAGUGGUUUUUUUCAUGGAUAAUUCACUCGCAUCAACGUUUCCCGAACAAUGUUUGAAGUGGUAUUCGCAGGAUUUCACAUAUGUUGAAAAAACAUCUACGUAUUUCUGCGUCUAAUUAAAUAUCUUCAACCAUGGCAGAUGAGGAAGGUACAGAGUGGCUUCAAGAACUGCUGCAUGAUGUGCAGCUAUCACAAUUCUUUACGCGAAUUCGAGAUGAUCUGCAGAUUACUCGUUUGCAUCAUUUUGAUUAUGUCCAAGCAGAAGAUUUGGAGAAAAUUGGUCUGGGUAAACCUGGUGUCAGACGUCUAUUGGAUGCGAUAAAGAAAAGACGAAAUGCCCAAUGGAAAAAGAGUUUAAUUACAAAAAUUAAACCUGGUAGCAGCGGUAAAAGCAAUAAGCGAGCUUCACAGGCCGUCGAAACUUCCUCGGUGCUGACAUGUCUUAUACAAGACAAAGAUGUGACAUUAUCUGUUAAAUUAGGCGAUGGAAGCUUUGGUGUAGUGAGAAGAGGAGAAUGGACCUCUCCCUCGGGACGAACUCUGCCUGUCGCUGUGAAAGUUCUUAAAGCAGAUGCUUUAACGCAACCGAAUGUUAUAGAAGACUUCAUUUCGGAAGUUCAAGCGAUGCACACUUUGGAUCAUCAUAAUCUUAUUAGAUUGUAUGGCGUGGUGCUAUCGCAACCAAUGAUGAUGGUGACCGAGCUCGCACCUUUAGGCGCGUUACUUGACUAUUUACGGCAGCAAUGCAGUAGAAUCUCGAUUCUUACACUCUGUAAUUAUGCGCUGCAAGUUGCCACGGGUAUGGCAUAUUUAGAAGCGAAGCGUUUUUUACAUCGCGAUUUAGCAUGCAGAAAUGUUUUAUUGAGUACCAUCGAUAAAAUCAAAAUCGGCGACUUCGGUUUGAUGAGAGCACUUCCUCAACAAGAAGAUUGUUACGUUAUGACAGAACAUAAAAAAGUACCUUUUCCCUGGUGCGCUCCUGAGUCUCUUAAGGCUCGGCAUUUCAGUCAUGCGUCAGAUGUCUGGAUGUUCGCUGUGACGCUAUGGGAGAUGUUAACAUUUGGCGAAGAACCCUGGAUAGGAUUAAACGGUUCUGAAAUCUUGCGUAAAAUCGAUCGCGAGGGCGAGCGGCUUCACAAGCCAGAAGCAAUGCCUCCGUAUAUGUAUGAGUUGAUGCUUCGUUGCUGGGCAAGAGAACCCUCGGAGAGACCAACAUUUGCUUCGUUGAAGGAAUCGCUGACUGGUAUGGUACCGUCUGUAAUGAAGGCUCUAACCACCUUCGAGGAAACCGAUAAAAUGUCCAUCGAAUCAGGAGACCAGAUUGCAAUCAUUGAUGGGCGAUCGGAAAAUUAUUGGUGGAAAGGCCAAAAUCAACGAACUUUUCAAAUAGCGCAUUUUCCACGUUGUCUAGUUGAUCCAAUGCGUCGAAAACAACCAGAAGACAUCAGCAAGCCAUUGGAAAAUUCAUUCAUUCAUACAGGACACGGAGCGCCCUUUGGUAAGAGCUGGGGCAGUCCCGUUUACAUUGAUGAUGUAUAUUUAAGAAACCCAAUGGAUCCUCCGGAUGUAUUGGUGGCAUCCUCGGUUGAUAAUCAGACAAAAAAGAAAUUUUCUUGUGGCACUCCGCGUACUAAAAAACAAUUUAAUUACACAAAAUUGCACAACGAUGCUAAGUCGAGUCCUAUCAAGUCCUCACAAGUAUCGUCAACUUCGAGCAUGAGCCAAGAGGAUACUCUAAUCGAUUUGUCCGUUGAAGAGUCAGCGAGCACAAAUGUACAUGUCGCAUGUAAGCGAGUAAUUAACAUUCUGGAUGAACCCAUUGAUGAUGAGAGAUUAUCCUGGCAGGAUGAGGAAGGUAGAACAUAUGCCAAUUUUCCUGGUAACGUGGAUCCUGCGUAUUCUGAUCCCUUUGAUACUUCCGCGGUAUUUAUGAAGCCGCCACAUUCGCGAUAUUAUAGUCAUGUGCCUACUGAUGUAACUAAUAAUUAUCUGAAGACGCAGACGUAUGGAAACGUGAAUGAUCAGAAAGAAAGAGAUAAUGUUCAAGAUACUGUGAAUUGUUUGAAUAAUUCCACUGAUACAGAGGAGACUUGCGAAUACUCGAUGAAUUUAUACAAGGGAUGUCAGGAGAAUGCAAUUAAUUUGAAUACAGACGUGAAAGAAGAUGACAUUACAAGUCACUAUAGUGAAAUAGAUAAAAUCAGCCCGUGUGCAUCAAGCUGGUCUACCUGGUCUAACUGGCCGGAAGAUUUACGAAAAACUUCCGCCGCGCAGACGUAUGUUAAUAUUUCUGACAACAGUCCCAUAUCGUCAUUUGCUGCUACAAUUUCUCCUCUUUCUUUUCUUCCUCCUCCUCCUCCUCCACCUCCUCCUCCUCCACCACCUCCUCCUUCUCUUCCUUCUCUUCCUUCUCUUCCUCCUCCUCCUCCUCUUGGCCCAAGCGUGAGCCUGCCGAAGCCUAAGUCUAAUUUUGAGCUCGCACAGAACAUGAACGAGCUGUCGUUGAAUACCAAUUCUGAUCGUCAAGAAGUUGCUGCUGUCGCUAAGAAGCUGGACCCGGUUUUCUUGGCCGAGCUGGAGAAACAUUUAGGCGAGAAGGAGGCGACCAAGAACACGAACGCUAGCAACAGUAAACUCCAACAGCCGGAAACUGUUUCCGCAAAUUAUUUACACGACUCAUCGUUAGAAAAAUUGCAACAGAAUUCUACGUCUACUCAUCAGAUUUCAACGACGGAAGACGCUGCCAGACCUUUGUCACUUAUUCCAGCGUUAAAGCCUCCACCACAAGGAAAACCGAAGUCUCCAGUAACGACUAUAAAUCGAGCAAACACUUUAUCGACAUCAUCUAACAAAGUACAGAACUUCUGGCAGCCAAAAAGCACAAAUGUUGAAAGACCGCGACUCCAGAAUGAUCACUGUGUAUCAGAAUCCGCCACUGAGGCUAUAAUGAAUCAAAUUUGGCAGCAAACGCAAGGUCUAUCGCAGCAGCCAAAUAUUUGUCUGACUAAUUCGGCAGCUAACCAAAUAUUAAUGUCCGUUUCAGUGACUCAAGCGAACGUUAAUCGACUUCAAGAAACUGCCAGUAACGCUUUCGAUAAUGAUACGAAUGAUCAAAAUCAGUAUAGUUCCUACAAUGUCACUAAGGCCACUCUUAUACAGACACAAGCUUGUCUGUCAGAUCAAAAUACUUAUCCUCAAAAUACGUUGCAUGCCAAUCAGGAUAAUAUUAAUCUGUUUGAAGGAACUUCUGAUCAUAGUACUGAUAGUAGCACGAACGAGGCUCAACACGGAUCUUGCAACCUUGCCAAGACCGCAGUGGAUCAAACACAAAUUUGUUCGUCAAACAGCCAAAGUUAUCUUCCAAAUUCAUUGAAUAUUGAUCACGAUGUUUUCAAUUUGCAACAGAUUGCCAUUAGUAACAUUUCUUCCAGUGCCAGGAAUUAUCUUCAGUGCGAUGCAGCUAAUAUUUCUAAAGUGAAUCAAACCCAGAUUUGCUCAUUAACUAAUGGAAGCCAGCAUUAUCUUCAUAAUACUGACUUUAAUCUACUUCAAACUACUGCCAAUUAUGUUUCUGACAAGAGCACGGGUGAAUUCUCUCAGCAUGGGCAUUGCAAUAUUUCCAAGGUUGCGUCUAAUCAGGCACAGAUUUAUUCGUUAUCAAAUCAAAAUUACUCACCGAAUAUAACACCAGGUUUUAUGGGCGAUUUUGCGUUGCCUCAAACAUGUCCUCAAAAUAUGGCAGUAUCAUCUAGCACAAGUAACGUUCAUGAAAUCGCCCACAUACAAAAUAACUUGCAGCAGUCGCAACAAUUAAAACCUGUUACACUUUUAUCUCAACAAGUAUAUGCCGAAUUAAAACAAACGGUCCCUAAUCUAGAGCAGCUGUCUCAGAACGAAUUUAAUACACUCUACAACAAAACUGUUCGACAGAACAUUCUCCGAAAUUACUAUUCUAAUAACCUCAGCAGUGAAUCCAGCCAAAAUGUUCAGGAAACUGUUGGUAACCAACCACUACAAAAGAGUGUCAACCUCAAGAAUCAACCUAUUCAAGGACAUGCUUGCGAUUUUAGUUCUUAUCUGAAACAGCCGCCGACUUAUACCCCUCCACCUGCUCCUCUUACAACUCGAAGUUUGCUUAAAUCUAGCCAGAAUGAUUAUAUGCAGAGUCAUAAUCCCGCAAUAAAGUGCAACUUGAGUAGACCUUCGAAUCUAUUGCAAGCUGAAACUUCUACGUCGACUAAAAGUACAUUAACGACGCUGAAUGACUUUGCUGCUGCCAAGGUAAAUCUAUUACAGGUCAAUCAGCAUUCUGCCUGCACUAGUCCACCACUUACCGCAGCCUCUCAGCAAUUGGUAAUGUCAUUAAGCGACGAAUUUAGAAUGAGUAAAAUCAUGAAAGUACAGAAAGAGACCGUAGAUGUGUCGCAGCAGGAGAUAUUAGCUGCAUUGCAGGCAACUGGUUGGGAUACAAAUCAAGCUGCUAAGCAGAUCACGAAGGACAGACAGGUCAAACUUGAAAAUCUCAUGAGAUUGGGAUUGGCUACUAAACAACAAUGUGAAAAUGCUUUAAAGCAGACUAAAUACGACGUGGAAAUGGCAGCUUCGUUGUUACUCGAUCAAGCUAGAUGAGGAACAAUUGCAGUUAAUGUCCCGACGUCUUCUAUGACACAGCUAUAACUCUGCAUAGGAGGAACAGGAGCAUCGGGGCUGCAAUUCAUAUUUGCUGCCGCAGUCAGCAACAGAGAGGAUUGCACCUUUAAUCAAGAUUUCUACCAAUUUGUGAGCACUGACGGUGCGAAGACAAAGCCUAUUGUUGCCGUAACUGGUCGGAGCUUCAAGUGAUCCAACGCAACGGUGAGAGUCUGAUGCGUGUAUAACGGGUGUGCAAACAAGAAAGAUCGAUAAACAUUCUCAAUGUUUCAAUUACUUAUUUAUUAUUAAUAUUAAACAAUAUACUUAUUGAAU